Malurus melanocephalus (red-backed fairy wren) is the source of this 3748-nucleotide long non-coding RNA. RefSeq lists it as uncharacterized. The record is from RefSeq and is a predicted model, not a curated record. The transcript is spliced from 7 exons. Lineage: Eukaryota; Metazoa; Chordata; Aves; Passeriformes; Maluridae.
UCAGCGCCCACAGGCGUGUUCGUGCCGGCGCGGGGGACCCCGCCCGGGCCGCCCCCGGGGCCGCUGCUGGCCGGAGCCGCUGGAAAACGUGUGUGGAGUGCCCCGGUGCGGAGCGCCCCGUGCGGCCCCGGGCAGCCCCCGGGCCCGGCAGGGACGUACCCAGGCUUUCUUUCCUGCGUUCUCCCGGUUGGUCUCUUCCGUCCUGGUAGGAGCCCAAGUCCCGCCACCGGGGCAGCAGCCAAAACCCACGCGUGGCUGCUUUGUCUCUCGCCUCUCGUACGCCUUGGGCAGCCACUCGUAGCUGGACCCCUUCGCCGUGGGGUCAGGUGUGUCCUGAUGCUGAUGCCAGGGGCUACUUUGGCGUCAGAAAUGUGCUUAUGAGAACAAACACCAGAACAUUACAUCCGAAGAACAGCGGGGAGAGAGACACCAAACAUUUAAAACUAGCAGAGCUGUCCUUUGUUUUUUUAAGUAAAAACAUCGGAAUCGGGGGAUUUCGAAGUUGCCAUUAUUAAACUGGAAGYAAUGGCCGGCGCUGUUGGUUGCAGGAGCCAGGGCCGAGCAGGGAAGUGGCGGGAGGGGAAGGCAGCCCUGACCUGUCGUGGGCUCCAGCACUUCCCGGGGAUCRCCGGUUCUGUGCCGGACAGCAGCGCUCCGCUGCCGGGUCGGGCACUCACCGAGUCCCACGUUUGCUCACUGUGGAACAGGACAUGUCUUUCCAGGCGCCGCCUAAAACAGCUGAAGUCAAUUUUGUUGUWAAUGUAAAUUUCAGGAGUCCUGGGCGGGUUCUUAAAAAGGCAGAUACAACACCGGCUUUGUGUAUCUUGGUUCCCUUGCUGUCAAAUUAGAAAAGGCAAACCCUGUAAUCAAACAAGAGUGUUUUGAAAAGUAUUCCUUCGUGAAACAGUGCUGGCACUUGAUGAGGAAGUUCAUUUGAUUUUCAUGCUUUUCAGCRAAGUCUUGAGCCACAACUUGAAAUAAAGGGAUAAAAAUAAACACUAAAUGUUCACUGAACGAUGCAAAGAGACAAAGACUAUGCCUGCCUAACUAGAGAAUGUUUCAUUCUAAGACAUUUUAAUUCUUAUUUAAAAAGUACUGUAAAAUUCAGAAGGAGCUGGGGGCAGUGGCCCGCUGCACGCCUCGGGUGCCAGAAGCGUUUGCUGCAGGAGAUCGCUGUCGCGGGGAGCAGCCGGCAGAGGGAGAUGGGAUGGGAUGCGCCUGUGCUGCAGCCUCGGACGCUCGCUUUUGGCUGAGGACGUUUCAGAUGAGAAAGAGAGAUUGUGAAGAACACACUUGAGUCAACAAAGAUUUUCCCGUAAGAAUCAAGUCCCCUGGAUGAUUUUCAAAUUUUGUCCUGGAAGAUCUUUGGGAUUUUUGGUACUGGUGAUCUUACUCAGAUCAGCUCUGAUGACACCUGCAACGUCGAUCACUUCCACCGUAGGAGUGUUCCCAUCAGGCCAUUCCUGCCUCUCUCUGACACGAAGAACUGAAGCUGAAAACUAAAUUUUUACUAUGGAAYGCAAUAGAAAUGACAGUUUGGUGAGUCUUCCAAAUCAGAAGAAGAAACCAGCACCAGCAGUGAGACGCCCUUGAAUGGAUGCUUCAAAGCUUUGAUCUUCUCUUCUGCGGAAGACCUGUGCCUAGCACGUGUCUGUGAUCUCAGGGAGGUUACAUGCACUCAACAACAGAGAUUACGUUAUGUGAAUGAGUUUGAUAGGAGUCACCAUGGUGAGGAAAGGAUAAUGGAAUUUCAGUAAACGUGAAGAAACCUCAUUGACGUCCAAUCAGAGGGAAUUUCAGCUCUCUACAUUGCCUUGGGUCUGCAAUCUUAUACACAGGAUCUGUUCAUGUAGGCUAAAUUCAGUACAGAGCAUUAAAUGCUGUCACUUUUGUAAUUAACAUCAGAGAGCUGYAUGAAGCCUUGAAGCUACUAAAUCCCAUAAGUCCUGUAGAAAAUGUUUCUUUAUACAGAUCUGAAGUGUUAUUCAAAGGAAUUCACCCUAAAAGAUGGAGAACUGCUGGGACAUGAAGAACAUAAAGYUCUAAGACUGUAUAUUGGAGAAACGUUCCCUCAGAAGUGUGCAUUUAGUCACCUUUGGUGACAUGCUGCCUUGCCUGCCACCUCUGCAAGCGUGGUCUCACUUUCACUGUUAUUGCAACAUGUGUCAAACGAAAUGAAAACAGAGAUUUGGGAAAGGAUAUAAUUAACCUACUUGUAAACAUUAACCUUAAAUAUCUUGCUAAUUAUCUCACUAAUUUAAUCACUGCAGAUUUCAAACUUGUUUGUUAAAUAUUUAAUUCUGUAAAUUGUUUUUGAUACAGAGGUGUGGGGAGCUUUCUGUGAGUAUAAGUUAGUCUGUAAAACUCAGUAAAACCAUUGUUAUGUUCACACUUCAUUGAACAAACCCUGCUGUCAACAAGACUUUUAAUGGAAAUCGCAAGAAGCUGUGCCCUGAGGCUAAGAGAUAUAGUGCCCUAUUAUUUUAAAAUCUAAUGAACACAUUGUGUGGAGUAUAGACCAAGGUAAAUUUCUUCCUGCACAUCUUCAGGUUUGAUUCCAUGGGAGUCUAGACUGGAAAGCUCUGGGUUUCCUUGUUUCUUYGGUUGCAGUGAAGCAGUACAGUUAUUUCUUACCUAUUCACCUCUUAGUUACUUGAGUAACUUAGCAAAAUUAUGUCCUUGAUUUUCAGCCCUUUUUAUCAAGUCCUUACCUUGUGCUACAAGGAACCUAAAAGGUGUUUAGAUACUCCUGUUACAAUGCCACCCAAUGUGUCUCUAAUUAUUYCUGUAAGGAAGCUGCUGGCGGUGUUUGUUGAGAAGCUGAAAUCUGUUUGUUCCUUCCUUGCGAUGGGAAGAGGGCUGUGCCAGGGGUGUUUGCAGGAGCAGCAGGAGCCAGGCAGGGUCUCGGGGACACGGCUGGCUGUGCAGGCUGGCAGGGGGAACAGGCAGCUCUGGGUGCUGGAGAACAUCCCAUGAGGAGUGAGUGGCUGAGGCAGGACAAGCUCAGGAGUCACCCCAAUCCUCUGUCCAUGAGAAGGCAGAGUCCUCAGCUGUGCUGUGCCUCCCCUCACACAGGAGCUUUGGCCAGCCCCUGUUUCAGGCUGUACCCCCGUGGCAGUUCUUGGGCACUGCCGUUCUCUCCGUUUUUGUAACAUUUGUUCUCCUAAUUGAGGAAGAAGGUAAAAAGAUUGGGGCUCACAYUGUGUUUCUGCACUGUAAUUCUUACUAUCAGAGCAAGGUGCCAACGUGUUCUAACUGCAGAUGAUGGCUUACAGCAGACCUCUGACAAAAGCCAUUUGAUGAGUUAGGUAUACUGUAAAUACCUAUUUGGGGCUAUAUUACUACCUUAUCAUAUAUUAUUUAGAAUUUCAUCCUGAUUGUCUGUGGUUAUUUAUUACAUGCUUACAUACCAGUUAGUUCAAUAAAAAACAAAUUUCUGUGAAUUUAGCUGAAUAAAGCUCUGUUUGUUCUUGUUAGUUAUAAGAAGUCUYGUUCUUUGUAUGCAUUAUCUCAGUUUCUGGGCAUUUUUCCCCUUCAUUUACUCCAAAAAUUACUUCAAUACUAAUGAAUACUGAAAGACAGCCAAGACAGGAUGAACUUUUGGACAAUUUAUGCAAACACAACCGAUGAGAAUAGAUUUACUAUAAACAUGUCAGGCACAAAAGACUUGACUGCUUUUUAAAUACAGUGAUACUGGAAGAGAUUUAUGGAUAUUUUCAACUGUUCAUUAAAGAGAAAAAUAUUUUGA